Molecule: long non-coding RNA, 620 nt
Filed under: Homo sapiens (human)
Lineage: Eukaryota; Metazoa; Chordata; Mammalia; Primates; Hominidae
Description: HSALNT0349163
Source: RNAcentral
AUUCAAACAGCGGAUAAUACAAGCCAAAGUUUUCUUUCUGUGGAAAAGUUGAUGCGCCUUUUAAGAAGUGAACAACCAAGUUAUUUGCCUGGAAAAGUCUCCUGAAAUACUGAAGUUAUGCUAAAGAAGAAGAGAAAGGAAGCUGCAGUCCCUGUAUAACUCCUAAAUUUUUAAUUUGGAGUUCCUCUUCUUCGGUGCAACAAUCUUUCUGCAUGCACAGAUCCAUGUGGCACUCAUCUCAUCAUUCUGAGGGAAGAAAGAUGCAUAGGGAAUGUUGCAUGUGGUUAUUUCUGCAGAACCCACAGAAAACAAUAAAGCACGAGAGAAAAGAGGAUGGCAGUUUACCCAGGAAACAUAGGUUGUGCAAAGCUUUGCAAUGAUACUCUCAAUUCAGAGCAAUGAAGAACAGAAUGCUGUCUUCCCAUAAUGAUGGCAUUCAAUUAUCACUAGACUUACAAGACUACAGAAAAUUUCUCAAGAACCAGUAAGGAUCAGACAGAGCCAAUGACAAUACUGAAGAAGCUUGCCAGUGGAGAAUGAAAGCUCAGUUACACAAAUUACGUUGUUGAACCAGUGCCAGAAAUAAAAUGUGAUGGACAAACUCAUUAAUUAUGAGCGUG